RNAcentral lists this transfer RNA (73 nucleotides) under bacterium. RNAcentral's name for it is "tRNA-Arg". It matches the Rfam family "tRNA". Rfam says of the family: Transfer RNA (tRNA) molecules are approximately 80 nucleotides in length. The record is from RNAcentral.
GGCCCUUUGGUGUAGUGGAUAUCACGGUGCUCUCCGGAAGCACAGGUCCCGGGUUCGAACCCCGGAAGGGUCA